Long non-coding RNA from Helianthus annuus (common sunflower), 1711 nucleotides. RefSeq lists it as uncharacterized. NCBI's taxonomy places the organism in Eukaryota, Viridiplantae, Streptophyta, Magnoliopsida, Asterales, Asteraceae. The record is from RefSeq and is a predicted model, not a curated record. The transcript is spliced from 8 exons.
GUUUCAAUUUCCCACCCAAUCCCAAUUCCAUACCCUAUCUACCCACCUAGUCACUUUCUCUCUCAAAUCUGUUUUCACAACAUGAGACAACGAGAAGCCGUCCUUGGUGCUUGUGAUGUUCGACGUUCUAAGCCGAUUCUGAUCCUAAUUUCACCGGAAUUCGCCACCACCGUCACCAUGUAUAGCUUUGACGUCUGUACCACCGGACCACCCUUCUCCUCCUCGUUUUGAUCCCACCCAAAUUUUUAUCUUAGUAACCAAGAAGAAUAGACGUGCAACCAUGGUAUAGGAAAAAAGCUUCUCUUUGAUAGCGGUCAUAGGGGAGUUUAGAAAGGAUCUGCACGUAGAUAGAGACUGAAACCAGUUCGGAGGUAGAGGCGGAUGUAGCCAAGUGGAUCAAUGCAGUGGAUUGUGAAUCUACCUUGCACGGAUUUAAUCCAGCUAUUUUGUUUUUACAUUUAGACUUGCUGCUGAUGCUUUAAAAUGCACCAACACCAUUCUUUCUUGCAAUCGUUAGAUGUACACAUAACAGCUCGCCAUCCAUCUUCCUUCCCGAAACUGGAAUUACCAACCCUUCUGCAGUCAGCAGCGCUUGUCUUAGUUGGGCUUCUAUACGAAGGAUCUGCGCACCCCUAACAAUGAAUAAUUUUCUGGGUGAGAUUAGUCGUAAAAGUGGAGGUGAUAAUGUACUUGAAAGAGAGGGAUACGUUCUAUCUGCUGGAUAGAAAUAGAUUGAAGCAUUUUUAAAGUUAGCCCUGAAGUUUCACUGAUUGAAGCAUAGAAAUAGAAUCGCGUCGCCUACUAGGUGUGUUAAAAGUCUUGAUGCAAGUGCAGCCGGAGUUAGCCAUGACAGUGGAUGUAUCGAAAACCACGAUGUUGCACACCGCGGCUGUGCAAGGGAACAUCGAUGUUAUGAACUACUUGAAGAAUAUAGAGACUAGUUUGGUGUGCGAGAAGUAAUGGGAAGACUGCUUUGCAUUCGACUUCGAGGAAUGGGCUUUAUCAUGUGGUGAAGGCGCUUUUGGAGAAGGCGCCAGAGAUAUCUGCAAGGUUAAUAAUUUUUAACAGAAAUUAUGUUCUGUAUACUUUCGAUUUUGAAUUUUACCGAAAACUAGGUAAAUUAUUGAAGAUAUUUGGCUGGAGUUGGGAAGUUACUGGCUUUUUCAGUUCUUUGGCAGCCAUGUCGAUAGGGUCGGGAUGUAUUUUAAGUGACGCAUCAAACUGAUAAGCAGCUCGGAGGCCGCUACCGGUGGUUCUAUAAUUUUUAUUUUUGUAGUAAACAUUGGUCUCUUAUUGUUUUGCCCGGACUUCAAAUUCGGCUAUAUUGUUGAUUCUAUAAAUGAAGGGAAGACCCAUAAAACUUACAAGCUCGUCAAGAUGAUAAGAUGAUUGAAGAAGAUUUUGAGGUUAAUUUUAAGUGGCACAUGGCACAGUGCACAACAGAAAGGCAGUUGGGAAUGUGGGUAUAUGGUAAUCAAACAUAUGAAAGAGUUUAUCGACUCUAUACAACAUGAUUUGGUUAACCAACUUUGGAAUGAAGAAGGGUAUUUUGAAGAAUCUCAAAUUGAGACUAUAGUGGUAGAUUUAUUGUCGGGAUUUAUUAAAAAGAUGUUUUGAUCUUGUAAGCAUUAGUUUGUGUUUUAUACGUUUGUAAUUCCGAAUACCUGAACGAGUUGUUGGGUUGUUUAAUACUAGUUAACUUUUGUCGUGA